Molecule: ribosomal RNA, 806 nt
Filed under: uncultured bacterium
Lineage: Bacteria
Description: bacterial SSU rRNA
Rfam family: Bacterial small subunit ribosomal RNA
Source: RNAcentral
AGAGUUUGAUCCUGGCUCAGGAUGAACGCUGGCGGCGUGCCUAAUACAUGCAAGUCGAGCGAACGGACGAGAAGCUUGCUUCUCUGAUGUUAGCGGCGGACGGGUGAGUAACACGUGGAUAACCUACCUAUAAGACUGGGAUAACUUCGGGAAACCGGAGCUAAUACCGGAUAAUAUUUUGAACCGCAUGGUUCAAAAGUGAAAGACGGUCUUGCUGUCACUUAUAGAUGGAUCCGCGCUGCAUUAGCUAGUUGGUAAGGUAACGGCUUACCAAGGCAACGAUGCAUAGCCGACCUGAGAGGGUGAUCGGCCACACUGGAACUGAGACACGGUCCAGACUCCUACGGGAGGCAGCAGUAGGGAAUCAUCCGCAAUGGGCGAAAGCCUGACGGAGCAACGCCGCGUGAGUGAUGAAGGUCUUCGGAUCGUAAAACUCUGUUAUUAGGGAAGAACAUAUGUGUAAGUAACUGUGCACAUCUUGACGGUACCUAAUCAGAAAGCCACGGCUAACUACGUGCCAGCAGCCGCGGUAAUACGUAGGUGGCAAGCGUUAUCCGGAAUUAUUGGGCGUAAAGCGCGCGUAGGCGGUUUUUUAAGUCUGAUGUGAAAGCCCACGGCUCAACCGUGGAGGGUCAUUGGAAACUGGAAAACUUGAGUGCAGAAGAGGAAGGUGGAAUUCCAUGUGUAGCGGUGAAAUGCGCAGAGAUAUGGAGGAACACCAGUGGCGAAGGCGACUUUCUGGUCUGUAACUGACGCUGAUGUGCGAAAGCGUGGGGAUCAAACAGGAUUAGAUACCCUGGUAGUCC